This is a long non-coding RNA of Psammomys obesus (fat sand rat), 6287 nucleotides long. RefSeq lists it as uncharacterized. NCBI's taxonomy places the organism in Eukaryota, Metazoa, Chordata, Mammalia, Rodentia, Muridae. The record is from RefSeq and is a predicted model, not a curated record. The transcript is spliced from 2 exons.
AGCGCGGAAGGUCGCGGGCCCCUGCGGUCCCGGAACUUCUCGCUCUGCGUCCCGCCUCCCUCCCGUGCCCCGUCCCCCUUUCCGGCCCGCGCAGACCCUCUUCGGCCGCUGCGCUGCGCUUCCCUUCGGCCGGGCGUGUGUGAGCGCGCUGUCCGCCAGCCGCGGGCCCCCGAGGUAGGAAGGCGGCCACGACCUGCCGGUCCGGGCGGCCUUUCCGUCCCGUGAACGUCUGCGCCCCCAACGCCCCUGUCCUCGGAGCUUUGGCCUCCGGCUCCCGGCUGCUGCUCCUGGUCUCCGAGGCGGUGCGGUGCGGUGCGGUUGGGUUGAGGCAGCCGAGCUGUGCGGGACGCGGGGACCCGCGCCGGCUGCCCCGGGCCUGCGCGCCGGCUCUCCCGAGGGCGGCCGGGCCUCGGGGCUGGCUCCGCUCUGGCGGCCACGCACCUGCUGUCGCGGCCAGCUGUGCUCCCGCGUCUCCGAGUUGUUUUCCCACCUGGCAUCGUGCGGUUCGGCUGUGCCUUAUCACCUCCUGUCAGAGACUACCUCAGGGCGUGCCAGAUAUGAAACCAAGAGCCUUAGGAAUGGUAGGCAAGUCCUCUACGACUUAAGUAUACCUUCAGUCCCGCUCGGUGAGAUUAAAACAAGCAUAUUCAAGUUCCCCUAGGUAAGUAGCAAAAAAAUGUGACCACCAGUCCGCUCACUCCUCCGCACAACCCACGUAAGUUGUAACGUCAGGGAACUAACAGAAUCAAGCCAGUUAUGUCCAGCAAGUCCACAGGGAAGAGGUCGCCGGAAGCAUCUGUCUGGGUAUUAUCUCUGUAUUUAUUCAUCCUCUAACAAAAUUAGUACAUGGAACCUUGAAGCUCAAAGGUAACAGAGAUUGGCCUCGUGAGAAAGUCCAACUGGCACUUGAGUGCAGAAUUUGUGUCCUAGAGCUCACUCUGUAGACCAGGCUGGCCUCAAACUCACAGAGAUCUUGCCUCUACCUUCUCAGCGCUGGGACCAAAGGUAUGUGCCACUUUUUGUAUACACACACCAAUGCUAAGGCAACAUAAAUUUGUAAAAAUUCAACCCCAGACCUGGUCCUUUGUAUUGUGCUUUAAAGUAGGUUUCUACCAUUGACUACAAAGAGACUGAAUUUGCUGAUUGUGUCUGAAGAUGGAGGGUAAGAGACUGAUGCAAAGAGAUCAGGGAGUAGGUAGUCCUGGGAGGGUCAGAGAUUGAUAUAAACAGGGCUAAUGCUUCCCAAUAAAAUCAGGAUUAGGUAACUUGUUUCCCAACUCCCUUCAGUGCUUUAAUAAAGAGUCAAGAUUGUAGGCUUGCAGGCAGUGGUCACCUCGGAUAUAGAGUGGAUUGUCUUUUACAAGUAGGGACCCACUUGAGUUGAUGCAGACUUCAAGCACUUAUGUUUGACACUGUGGUCUCCAAGGAGAGGGGUUUGGUCUAUGAGUUGUAGAUGGAUGCAAGCAUCCAAGACAGUCCUGUGUAGCCUAAGGUGGCCCCCAAAUCACUAUGUAGACGAAACUGGUCUUGGACAUCUAGCUAGCUUUCAGAUGUUGGAAUUACAGGUGUUUGCAAGCAUGUCUGACUGGGUACAAAUUUUGAUCCAGUUAGGUCCCUAGAUAAGCAGCUCUCUGGUUGGUGAGCUGGCGAGCUGAGUCAGCAGGUAGGGGCACUUGCAGCCAAGCCUGAGGACCAGAGUUUAAUCCCCAGGAACCCUCAUGGUAGGCAAGAACUGGCCAUUUGUCCCGACUUCCACACGCACAGUGAGCACAGACAGUAAACUUCUUAAAAUUAUGUUUAGGCCUGGGGCAAGCUGUGCACGACGUAGAAGUGUGCUGUGUUAGAGUUUGCGACGUUGGGAGCUGGAGAGAUGGCUCAGAGGUUAAGAACACUGGCUGCUCUUCCAAAGGUCCUGAGUUCAAUUCCAGCAACCACAAGGUGGCUCACAACCGUCUACGCUGAGACCUAGUGCCCUCUUCUGGUGUUCAGGCACGCAUACAGGUAGCAUGCUAUAUAAAUAAUAAAUUAAUCCUUAAAAUUUGAGUUGUUUGAAGAAGUUUCUUUAAACUAUUAGCACUUAUCAGGGACAUUAAAGUCCUAUAAAAUACCUUGUUUAAGAGCACAACAUGAUGUAAGUCAAGUCUACGCCUUGGUUGGUGCCGGUAAUGUCAGAAAGGAAGCAGCAGUGACGCGCUGCGUGCAUUUGGGCCUUGGUAUAUAAUUGUCAUUUAUUCUGUGCUUUGCUUGCUUGGUGGCCUUUUUUAACCUUUUGCUUUUAUUGUUUGGUUGGAUGCUUAUUUAGGGACAGGCUCUCUGUACAUAGCCCUCACUGACCUGGAACUCGGAGACCCACCUGCCUUUGCCUCCUGAGUGCUGGGAUUAAAGGUGUGAACCACCACGCCUCGCUAUACUUUACUGUCUUUAAAGACAUUUCUAAACUUGUUUUUACCUUGAAGGGGGACAGUUAGGCAAGGCUAUAAUUAAAACAGGAAAACGGUUUUUGUUUCUUUUAAAGCAGGGUUUCUCUGUGUAGCCCUGACUUCUGCCUCCAAAGUACUGGGAUUAAAGACAUGUGCCACCACUGGCAGGUCAAACAGUUAUUUUAAAAAUCAUUUUCUUUUUAGAUUUUAUAGCUUCCUAAAUUGGUAAGGUUUUUGGAAUUUUUUGGAAGACGUGUAUCCCACAAUAGCCUUGACCUCUUCCCUGGUGCUGGGAUUACAGGCGUGUGGCACCACACCCAGCGUCUUCAUAACUAUUUUUCUUCUUGGAAUACUUACCCAAUGAGUUUCUGGUUUAUUUUUCCAGGAUGUUACCAGUUGGCCUCUAAGGGAUCGCGAUCAGUAUUUCCAGCAGUAUAUUUGUUAAACUUGCCUCCCAUGCUUGCAUGGUGAGAGGCACUGUAUCCCCACUGGGGAGGGACUGGGUAUCCAAGAGGCUUAUAAUUGUCCUUUGAGAUUUUAGCUGCAUGGUUUUUAGAAUUGUGGUACUCGCCCCCUCUCUGGCUGGCUAAUUCUCUUUGUCCCUCUUUUACACAAACAUGGGCUUGCUUCUAUGCAUAUAGCAAUGGCUCAUGUUCAUUCUUACCCAGAAGGUUUUCUUCUCUACAAGGCUGCUCAGAGAAUUUGCCAUAAGCCUGUCUCUUCUUUACCUGGGUUUCUAAAACCCUUAGUAUUACGGGUGUAAGUGGUUUUAUUUCAUCCUUUAGAAGGCAAAUAACACGUUGUAACGAAGUUAAAGGACGUUUAACAAGUGGACGGGACAGUAGUUAUGAAAACAUCAGUUUAUUCAUUUAUACAUACACCUAAUACAUGAAAAGAAAAUCUCAAUUGAAAUCCAGCAAUCUAGAAAGAAUUCUGGUCAUAAAAAGCAUAGUUACUCCAUGUGUCCAAAAUCAACUGAGUCUGCUCAGGAAAAGUUUUUUAUUUACUCCAAUACCUAGAAUCUCCUUAAGACCACAUGCUGACACUACACAGGAAAGAAAAGAGCUAAAUGCAAAUUUCUAGAGUUUUAUAGUAAUCGUACUGGUGCUUUAUAUAGUUUAAGCAUCAACCAGAGAGUUACAUAUGAACUAAAAAAGCGUUCAAUGAAAUGAGCUACAGAACUUUUUACCCCACACCCAGAUUAUUCUGAGGAAGGAGGACUGAUAGGAGGGCUGAGACCCCACAGACAACAUUCCACUUUCUUCCUAUCUCAGUCCACUACUGGACAUUCUGGAGUGUAAGGCACUAGAACUGGGCUGAGAGAAAUGUUCCAAGCUUCAGUUCUUGGUGUGCAAAGAAAUCUUGGCAUAGAUGUUUUGAAACAUGAUAAAAAUAACUUCCCCUCCUCUUGUAGUCUGUCCUUCACAGACAGAAAGACAAGGAGGUAGAUGUUUGCAAAGAUUUAAAACCGGUGACUCAAAAUAUGAAGAAAAUGUAUAUAAUUAUUCAGAAGUGGAAAAGUGCUUAGUGAGGCCAAGAGUCUUAUAUAGGGGAAAUGCUGAUGCUUAACAGAGAAGGCAAAGGCGUUAUGAAACACUCACUGUGAAAAAGUUAGGGACUGCAGGAGAAAGCCCCACAUUGACUUGAAAAUGGGGGCUUGCAGAUCAGCACCUUGUAGACCAAAAGCAGUAGUGGCAGAGGAAGAGAGGUACUGCCAAUCAACCCAUAGCUCAGAUAACACAUUUCACCUACUCACCUUCUCAGUCUGUGUGCCUACAGAUGUAAGCACAAGAUGAACAUUCUCUAGCCAAGAAAGGUUGUGUUGAUACUAUGCUGCUUAUCAACAUUUGUGAGGUGGGGGUGUUGGGAUGCAGAAAAUGAAAAAUGACAGCUUAUUCUUCAUUACCCCAAAUAUUAUAAAUUAGUUUCCUUGGCUAAGAAUCAACAGAUACAAGGAUGAAAUCUGUAGCUGACUUUGGCAAACAGGCUGAUGGAAUUACUCUUCCCAGGACUGGUACCAAUACUAUAAGGCAUAAAUUCUCUCAAAGUGUGGUGAUGAAUUUUUCAGAUGCUAGCAAAUGUUUGUUCCUAAGCUAGAGAACAAUUGACCGGAAAAUCAAAGCUGUGAGUCUUCAGUGAAACAGCAUACCUUUAGCAGAUCCCAGUAUUUGUAACUCAUACUGGCACUACCAUCCAUAUCCAACAGCAGAGCAGUGGAAUACUAAAACCUACAAAUUUGUUUUUCAUGUUUAGUUACGCUUCUUGCUUGAACACAACAGCCUAGAAUAUAUUAGGUGUAAAGGAGACAGGCCAGAAAGUACUGAGCCAAGCUGAAGUGGCUGUAUUCCACUCCUGCACAAAUGGGCUCUUAAGAGACCAAAAUGAAGCUACAGUUUGGUGCUGUUACAUGAUCCUGUGUCCCAGGACUAAUGAGGCCUGUAGGGACCCACAGAAGAACAAUUCAGACCAUUCAAGCCUUUGCUCCUUGUCCCUUUCUAUAAGGUGAGUACCUGUCAUGGAAGGGAACUCUGCUAGAAGUUUGAGUACAUUUCAAAUGACUGUGGUAGUGCUGAGAAACGGGUGUUGCAUGUGGCAUGAACAGCUAAGGGGAAAGAAAGCCUUCAUUCGUAUCGUUUCCAGAAGGAUCCCAGAAAACUACUAACCCUAGCUCAUAUAUAUAUAUAAUCUUUGUUACCUUGUUCAAAGAGAUUUAUCAAAGAACAUGGAACCCCUCACUUCUGGGAAAGAAAUGUGACAACAGAUUAUUCCAGAGAACCUGUCACCUAAAGCCGAAGUGUUCAUCCCCUUAAAGCUGACUGGCUCCCCACAGUGUGUUGUCAUACAAGGCAAGCCGAGACAGCCUCACUGUCCAAGAGCUGGAAAUGUCUCACAACUGAGGAUGUACAGUCUUAGUCUUCCUGGAUUUUCAGUCACGCCUCUAGCGCAAUGGUUCUCAACCUUCCUAAUGCUGCAACCCUUUCAUUACAGUUCCUCAUGCUGUGCUGACCCCAACCAUAAAAUUAUUUUCGUUGCUGUAAGUUUGCUGCUAAUAUGAAUCAUAAUUAAAUAUUUGUGUUUUCCAAUGGUCUUAGAUGACUCAUGAAAGGGUCAAGGUUGUCCAACCCCAAAGGGGUCAUAUCCCACAGUUGAGUACCACUGCUCUGGACUUAGCAUUUCUGUUGUUAACCUGCUUCUACUUCAAGAAGCCUAGAAUGCCCCUCCAACACUUCUGGAUCAGGUGUUCCAGGUAAACGGCCCCCUCAACUAAUGUAAGGUGUGUAUGACACCCACCAUAGAAAAAGCCUCAGCAAGUCAAGCACUGCCUGCGAGCUGAAAACAGCAACAGCCAGAACUUCUAACUGAAGACUUCCUAGAAAGUUGCUGUAUGUUUUUGGAAUACAGUGGUUUCUCUCCAACUUUGAGACUAACAAGUGAAGAAAAGACUCAAAAUAUAUGCUGAAAGUACUCUUGAUGACAUUUGUAGUUGAAGAAUAUACUAUAAUAAUGGCACACCAAAUUUUAAAACUUAACUAUUUUGGAAGUUGUGGGGGUUUUCUGAAUCGUUAAAGAGCAGAUUUGCCGCUACAUUGCUGCUACAUCUUUGUGGUUUUUCAAGACAGGGUUUCUCUGUCCAGAACUUGCUUUGUAGACCAGGCUGGCCUCAAACUCGCAGAGAUCGGCCUGCCUCUGCCUCCCUCUGGAAUGCUGGAAUUACAGGUGUGUGCCACCAUGCCCAGCCUGCUGCUACAUUGUUACUAUUAAUGCACAGGUCAAAAAUUCUUUUGUAUUCAAUUCCAAAUAAACUUUCAUUCACACAGACUCUGGAAUGUUUACAACCAUCAACCAUAUUGGAAAGAACACAAAAUA